GAUGAACGCUGGCGGCGUGCUUAACACAUGCAAGUCGAACGAACCUUCGGGUUAGUGGCGGACGGGUGAGUAACGCGUGAGAAUCUGCCCUCAGGAGGGGGAUAACGGCUGGAAACGGCCGCUAAUACCCCAUAUGCCGAGAGGUGAAAUGAAUUUCGCCUGAGGAUGAGCUCGCGUCUGAUUAGCUAGUUGGUGUGGUAAAGGCUCACCAAGGCAUCGAUCAGUAGCUGGUCUGAGAGGAUGAUCAGCCACACUGGGACUGAGACACGGCCCAGACUCCUACGGGAGGCAGCAGUGGGGAAUUUUCCGCAAUGGGCGCAAGCCUGACGGAGCAACGCCGCGUGAGGGAUGAAGGCCUCUGGGCUGUAAACCUCUUUUAUCAAGGAAGAAGAUCUGACGGUAC
RNAcentral lists this ribosomal RNA (403 nucleotides) under uncultured cyanobacterium. Its description in RNAcentral is "bacterial SSU rRNA". It matches the Rfam family "Bacterial small subunit ribosomal RNA", at positions 28 to 478 of the family's 1533-position model. Lineage: Bacteria; Bacillati; Cyanobacteriota. The record is from RNAcentral.